Molecule: ribosomal RNA, 460 nt
Filed under: uncultured bacterium
Lineage: Bacteria
Description: partial 16S ribosomal RNA
Rfam family: Bacterial small subunit ribosomal RNA
Source: RNAcentral
CCUACGGGAGGCUGCAGUGAGGAAUAUUGGUCAAUGGACGAGAGUCUGAACCAGCCAAGUAGCGUGAAGGAUGACUGCCCUAUGGGUUGUAAACUUCUUUUAUAUGGGAAUAAAACGUUCCACGUGUGGGAUUUUGUAUGUACCAUAUGAAUAAGGAUCGGCUAACUCCGUGCCAGCAGCCGCGGUAAUACGGAGGAUCCGAGCGUUAUCCGGAUUUAUUGGGUUUAAAGGGAGCGUAGGGGGAUUGUUAAGUCAGUUGUGAAAGUUUGCGGCUCAACCGUAAAAUUGCAGUUGAAACUGGCAGUCUUGAGUACAGUAGAGGUGGGCGGAAUGCGUGGUGUAGCGGUGAAAUGCUUAGAUAUCACGAAGAACUCCGAUUGCGAAGGCAGUUCACUGGACUGCAACUGACACUGAGGCUCGAAAGUGUGGGUAUCAAACAGGAUUAGAUACCCCGGUAGUC